Non-coding RNA from Bombardia bombarda, 81 nucleotides. NCBI's taxonomy places the organism in Eukaryota, Fungi, Ascomycota, Sordariomycetes, Sordariales, Lasiosphaeriaceae. The record is from the annotation of a GenBank genome assembly.
GCCCGCAUGGCCUAAUGGCUAUGGCGUCCCACUCGUAGUAUUACAAUGGGGAGAUUCCUCGUUCGAUUCGGGGUGUGGGCA